GACUGAUCUAUCAACGUACAGCUCAAACUACUGGGCGGAUCAAGCUGAAUUUUGGCAUGCAGAUAGCUAUUAUGACGUAGACAUCCGCUAAGAAAGUACUUUUGAAAAUUCAUCCCCUAACAAUACAUUAGUGGUUCGAAAUUUAUGUAGUCACGCGUACAAAGUCGCGGGCAUAAGCUGGUAAAUU
Long non-coding RNA from Maniola jurtina (meadow brown), 187 nucleotides. RefSeq lists it as uncharacterized. Lineage: Eukaryota; Metazoa; Arthropoda; Insecta; Lepidoptera; Nymphalidae. The transcript has 3 exons. The record is from RefSeq and is a predicted model, not a curated record.